UAGUAAGGUAGUAUCCUAAGUGCUUGUAAUUCUUUGAAACAGACUUGAGGAAUUAAUUGUUCUAUUUAAAUAUGCAUUCUGGUGCAAAAUUUAAAACAUCUCUUGUUCACCUUCUCCAUACUCUUCCUGUUUUUUUCAUUUUCACCAUUCUUCCUGUAGCCUAAAAUCUCUAUUUUCUUCCUGUAGGUAACUGUAGGUCUUCUGCAAUAUCAGAGUGAUAAAAUGACACUUGAACAGAUUCAUGGGAACCUAGGGAGUGUGACCUGUCAACUCUGGUUGACAACUCUGCCCAAGUCCAAGAUCACCUAUGUCUUUGUCAUUCCUUGACAGAAAACAGUUUAAACUCUUUCUGGAUACUGAGUGAUGGCUACAGGUGAUUAUUCUGAAGGGUACAAUUCUGCAUUUCCUUCUGAAGCUCUGCUCUGUGACAGCUUAGCUGGAUUGCAGCAGACAAGCCCAGUCCUUUGUCCAGAGCUGUGAUUGCUGUGACCCCACUGUCCCCACCACAGGAUUCUCUUCCCCAGGGAUGGAUCCUGGUCCCUGUGCUGUGUCAGCCAGGAGAGGAGAAGGACAGACCCCUGCUGUCACCAAGGACACCCCAAAUCUCUCCUGAGCCUCAUCCAAAAAGGUACAAUGCUGCUGUUUGCAGAGGAAGGACACCAGCUGCAACAAAAGUAGUGUCUGUUCUAGAGUGAGGGAUGAGCUCCACUGGACAUGAGUUGGCUUCCCUGGCUGCUGUGCUCAGUAUUUCAUUUUAGCAAGUCUGAGAUUGCUCCAAGUCUUCAUCUCCUCCUCCUUUAUGCCACUGCAAGCACCAGGUUGUAUGUUAUUGAAGAGAGAGAAAUAGAAAGUGCAAUGCAGUGUUUUAUUUCAUGCUGCCCAAGUUUACUCAGACAGACACACCCAGAGAGAACGUGUGCUGCACUCAGCUUGGAGAUCUGUGUUAGAAAUCCUGGCUCCCCUGUGCUUUCCUGCUUUGCCAUAGCUGAUAAGAGAGUUUAUAACAGGAACCCCCUGUUACCUCAGCUGCAAAUGGUUCUGAGAAUCUAAUGGCCAAGAGAGCAGAAUUUAAAUUUAUUUUUGUUUGGCUUGUGUUCCAGCAAGCAUUUAAAAGAUCCCCCAGUUUAUCUUUGUCAGAGAUUGUUUUUCUUUUGGCUUAGCUUGGACACCAAUCUCACUGUUGAGUUUACAUUUAUGGAGUGGGACCCAAGGUUUUCUCCAAGCAUUCAGUAUUAUGAUUUUGACUUUGCAAGUCUUGUUGCUUGGGAUAGGUGUAAAAGUCAUGUCUGCAUGUACAGCAAGAACAGAACUGGGCUGUGGAUGCUGCUACUUAGUCAACUGGGCAGGAACAAAAUUCUGGAGGCUGCCUCUCCUCUUGGCUGGCAGGCAGAAGAGUUGGUAAAAGCUGCAAAGACAACUGAGCACCUUAAUGAUGACAUUUAUUUUUUAUUUUAUUUCAUUGGUGGAUUUUGAGGAAUAGUUUUUAAAAUGCAGUUAUUUUACUGUCCUUUAGCAAAGCAUGUGUGACCACAGCUGUUUUUCCAAAAUGCCUGGUUCGCUUGCUUUUGUUGCCACCAGUAGAGUUCUCACUCCACAUAGCAAUGUCCACAAGGUGGUGCCACAGCUAAGAACUUUGCAACAAAUAAGGCAAGUAACAUGAUAAUUCUGUCUGCUUUUUGUAACUGACUGAAGUAUCUGCAUCGUGAAAGAAUUAAUAAUCAUUUCAUAAGCCAAAUAUCACAGGUUUGCAGCUCUUUUUUUGUGAGAACUAAGGUGGGUCUGUCUGCUGAGCAAGAGCAGCAUCCACACACCUGAGACUGUCCCAAAUCCUGCACAGAAAUGAGGAGGCAGCUCAGGGUUUAGCAGUCAGGCUGAUAAAGAGCUGUGUAUUUCCUAGCAGGGUUACCUGUGCCAACACUGGCAUGUGUCUCACGUUUUUAUCUGGUCACUUCAGCAGGAAUCAGCCUGAAUCCUGACAAGCAGAAUAGUUCAUCCACAGCUUCACCCAAGACAGCUUCUACUUACCCUGGACAGGCUAUGGCACAUCAGACCCGAAUUUCCUGAGUUUUUCUAGAGUCAGGGAUAUCCAGGCUCCCUGUCCUAUGUUAAUCUACAGCUGAUUAUUAAUUCCAAAGGGUAUGAAAUGCUCACAGAGGGACCUGCACAGAUGCUCAAGUUUCUGAGCAUCUUUUUAAAAAAGAUCAGACUAGAGAAGGUAGAAGGCAGUAACAGAGAAUGUAAAAUGUCAUGUGUCCAGUACAGAAAAGACAAUAAAACUUCCAGGGAAAAGUUGUUUGUAGGGAUCUGGAUGACUGCACUGAUUUUGAUGUCCCAGAAGUGCAGCAGGAUUUGGCCAUGCCCUCAGAAGGUGUGGGUCAGUUCUUCAGCUACCCUUGGCCACAUGGUGCUUCUUGCACCUCUGCCCUGCUCCCCUCAGUGGCCUCUGUAAUCCAGGUGUUUGUGCUAGCAACAGAAAUACUCCCUGUCAGCUUCUGCAGUGGAUAAAUGAAGUUUGAAUCAUUUAUUCUUUACAUAUUUUUGUACCCAAAGCAGCAAGAAAAAGGGAUACCUUAAAAUACCAUUCAGACAAGCAUUGACCUGCCUCCACCUAGAAUCUCUCUUUGCUAGGCCUGUAUCAGAAAGAAAAAAAUAAUAGGGUUUGCAUAAUAUUUCCUCUAAAUUGCUACAUUAUUAUUUUAAAACAUAUUAAAAUUUUUCUGGCUAGUAAGGGACUCAGUGGAAAUUAUGUAUAUCCAGGAAAGAUGGUUUGUCCCCCAGUUACAAAGCAGAAUGAGGUGUAGAAGCUUAUUGAGUACAGUUAUAAAAGUUGUCAAAUAACACAAUGGCCACCUAUUUUGUUUUUAAGGAUCAUAUCUAUAAAUUAUAUGUAAAAGUGGUUUACAGUACUUUGAAACUUUGUAUUGGUUUCAUCAUCUGUUAGAAAAAGUCAGAA
Zonotrichia leucophrys gambelii is the source of this 2953-nucleotide long non-coding RNA. RefSeq lists it as uncharacterized. The record is from RefSeq and is a predicted model, not a curated record. The transcript has 4 exons. NCBI's taxonomy places the organism in Eukaryota, Metazoa, Chordata, Aves, Passeriformes, Passerellidae.